This is a long non-coding RNA of Denticeps clupeoides (denticle herring), 2546 nucleotides long. The record is from Ensembl. NCBI's taxonomy places the organism in Eukaryota, Metazoa, Chordata, Actinopteri, Clupeiformes, Denticipitidae.
CUACGGUCCACGCAGACAAGCCGCGCGCGACACGUCCUCCGCCGUCGGGCGUCUGUGUGCGCGCGCGCCCCCGCCGCCGCUGGAUGGUCCGGCCGCGAGUCUCGGGGACGGGAAGCUUCAUUUAGCGCGGUUUGUCGGAAGAUGUCCAACUCUGGAUCGAGAACAGGAGUCACGAGUGGAGCUGCGAGUCUGAGCAGUGGCAGUUACUGUUGGAAUCCAAAGGGCAAGUUUCUUCUGGAUCAAUAUUCCAGUGAUCAACUGGGACUGUACACACUGAUGUCACUGACUGUGAGGCGCAGUGUUGAGCCCAGGUAGAACCUCCUAUGAUUCGAGACCAUCUCCCCCCCUUCCAGCAGCAGCUGCAGGACUAAGGGAUGACACACACCUUGCUCCUCCUGACCCUGCUCACGCUCUCCUCUAGCAUCCAGGUGUCUCCUGCUAAAACCCUCAAGAACGUUGUGGCGAAAUGGACCAUGUAUAAGGACGAGUGCAGCCGCAACAUCAGCAGAGAACCUCUGCUCACUGGUUUGGUCUGUAACAGGACAUUUGACAGGUAUGCCUGUUGGCCUGAUGGGCUGCCCAACACCACUGUCAGUGUGCCCUGUCCCUGGUACCUGCCGUGGUAUCACCAAGUCCGGCAAGGAUUUGUGUAUCAAGAAUGUGAUGCCAACGGCCAGUGGGUGUCCAUUAGGAACACAAGCGAGUGUGAACCGAAGGACCAAACGCAAGACACCUCGUAUGGAAGGAUCCUCAACAUGUUUCGGGCUGUGUACACCGUGGGCUACUCUCUCUCGCUGGGGGCGUUGGUGCUGGCACUGGGCAUCCUGGUGGCAUUCAGGAAGCUGCACUGUAUGAGGAACAACAUUCACAUGAACCUGUUUGCCUCUUUCAUCCUGCGAGCGCUGGCAAUCCUCAUCAAAGAUGCCCUGCUGGAGACCCCCACCAUUGGCCAGGACAUCUCCACUGACUAUGAAGUAGAGUUACUAGUCAAUAAUGAGGUCACCAUUGGGUGUCGCGUUGCCGUAGUGAUGAUGCAGUACAGCAUAAUUGCCAAUAGUUACUGGCUGCUCGUGGAGGGAAUCUACCUGCAUAACCUGCUGGUCGUCACAGUUCUGACGGAAAAGAACUACUUCAGCAUAUACCUGUGCAUUGGCUGGGGAGCCCCUCUGAUAUUCGUGUUCCCUUGGGUUAUUGUGAAGUACCUGUAUGAGAAUGAGGAGUGCUGGGAGCAAAACAUAAACCUGAAAUACUGGUGGAUCAUCCGCUCACCUAUACUGCUGGCAGUUCUGAUUAACUUCUUCAUCUUCUUGCACAUUGUGAAGAUACUUGUGUCCAAGCUGAGAGCUCAUCAAAUGAGAUACUCAGACUACAAGUUCAGACUGGCCAAGUCCACCCUCACCCUCAUCCCUCUGCUUGGUAUUCAUUUGGUCCUCUUUUCCUUCGUCACGGACGAGUCUACCUCAAAUGGCGCUGUAGCUCUGCGCCUCACUAAGCUCUUCAUUGACCUCUUCUUCAAUUCUUUCCAGGGUCUCCUUGUGGCUAUUUUAUACUGCUUCGUCAACAAAGAGGUUCAGUCUGAGAUCUUGAAGAAGUGGAAACGCUGGAAGCUGGGCAGGAAUAUAGAGGAAGAGUACCGUCACACAUACAGCCACACCGCUCACGUCAGGGGUGGCAGCAUUUUGGCUCAGCCCUCUGCCAUGCCCAGACUGCCAGACAUCACUGCCACCAAAUCCCCGCCCUGCAGCCUGGAGGAGAAACAAGCUCUGGUGGCUGGCUGCCAGAACGGAAUGGGCCGAAAACAGGCAGGCUGCUGCUUCAUCACCACGCCACGAGAGGGUGCCACCAACUGCAGCCUGCUAUCUGAGAACAUCUUACUGAUGGACAAGGUGCAAGGUUAUGAGACCCCGCGGGGGAGCGCGAGUGCGGAGAGUACACACUGAAGUGCAGGGGAGCAUCCAGUGUGAAUUACAGGGCGUCGGCCCCACCUGGUCCUCACACGCGUCCACGUCCUCCCGCUGCUGUACCACGUUGAAUGACCUGAGCUGGGUUGGGACGGGUGUGUGGUCGCCCAGCACGUCCGUCUGUGUGUGUGUAUGUGUUUAUGUGUGUGUGAGAGUGUGUGCGGAGAGCACUACUCUGUUCACUCCAUGGCUCCAUACGACAGGCAGGACCAUUGAUGUGUGUCCAGUUUUGGACCAGUGACGUUCCAUGUGUGUCUGGUCCUCGUGUCAGAGAUCAUGUGAAACCAAAACUGCACGCAGGUGAACCAAAAAAAAAAAAAAAAAACCUGUUACGCUGAUUUUCAUAAAAAAACAUUCAGAAAAUGUCAAUAUGUUGAAAACUCAAAAAAACAUCUAUUAACUGUACAGAAGUCAUGAAGUCAAAGUCAAAGUCCAGGAAAAGACAUGUUUGUGCUGGUCUUAGUAGAGAUAGAAGGAUGGACAGAGUCCUGCUGUGGUUCUGGACUGAGCCUCCCUUACCCGCUGGACCCUGCACGGCUCGGCAGCUGCUCCACCUACAAUAAAGUACCCAGAAUGUCUCUUGCA